UCUGAAUAACUCUAUUUUCCCCUAAUUCAGGUGAUGGACGGGCGUUGGAGCCAGACACCUUAAAAGCCUCUAACUGUUAAAGAAGCUUACCACCUCUGAAUGGCUCUCGACACUCAUGUUUCUCUACACUGGCGAAAUGCGUAAACAGUUGCCUGGAAUCAUCAUGACUAUCGGUGACCAACCAGUUCAUAGCCCCAAGAAGAGCAGCUUAGGGUUUGUGCGUAGGACACAAUGGGUGCUUUCUGCAGUGAGGCUGACAGCGGUUGACAGGGUUUUGUUCUGUGGAUCUUUCUGCCUACGCGAACACAGUGGAAGCUUACCUUGUCUAGACCUUGGGUGACUGUCCGGUGACACGUAAUGGUCUCGCCCGACAGCACCUCCCACAGAAACAGUGGUUGGAGAGGAAGCUGGUAGACUUCCACACUUACCUCCGCUGCAGAGACACCAUGGGGAUUCCCUGGCACGGCAGGAGCCUCUGUGGCCUGUUCUGGGUCUUCCGAGCCUUUGGAGGCGUCUUCUUUGGGCUGGCUGUCAACCGGCACGCUUUCUCUUCCUUUGUCCAGUUUAAAGAAUCUGUUCAAAAAGCUGAAAUCCUUAGCCUGGGCGGGGGCUUCUGCCCGGGACUCAGGUGUGUGCUUGGGCUGACAUCAAACCUCCCCGAUGCAGCCGAUGAAUCCGUGCCUUGGUCCCCGGGACGUCCUGGUACAGGCCGAGAGAGUGUCAAGAAAAAAUGGGAUCUAGCAGCUGGCGUCUUGAGCUUGGCAUCUUUCCCAAGAUUCUUUCCGCUGGCAUCGCCCACAGCCUGGGCCUCCAUUGUCUUGGGGGAAGAAGUAGCCACAUUAUCCUUCUUCGGGCUGCUGAUUCCCAAGUCGACUGUAAACACAAACAUAAACAGAGGUCAUUCAACAAGCCAGGAAAUUCAAGGGUGAAUAAUGGACUCCAACUUUUUGAUACACAACGUCCCUUCUGCAGACUGGGGCGGCCUUGUUCCCAGCUGUCAGCGCGGUGGACACCUCCUGACCCUGCCCUUCCUGGAAGAGAGACCCUCUGAGGCUGAUGAGGCAGAAAAGCCAAGGACUGGGAAGUCACUACCUGCCAGGCACCACGUGAGUGACACCCAAUGUCCACUGUCAUCUUCUACUUCCCUGGGAUCUGGAGAAGUGUAUACUUAAUUUUUUUCCAAUAGACAUCGUGGCCGUGUUUGUG
Molecule: long non-coding RNA, 1206 nt
Filed under: Mus pahari (shrew mouse)
Lineage: Eukaryota; Metazoa; Chordata; Mammalia; Rodentia; Muridae
Description: brain enriched myelin associated protein 1, opposite strand 1 (MGP_PahariEiJ_G0003412.1)
Source: RNAcentral